GGAGGGUUGGAAGGUCGGGAAGUGAAGGACUCGCAGGCAUAUUUAACAACGCAAAGUUGCUAGGAGUUGGUACCAGCGUUUGGGAGGUAGAGGUGGCGCUCAUGCAUAUUUGAGACAACAUCUGGAUGGUUGGGGAGAACGGUGAUGCCACACUCAAUCAGAAACUAUGCUACUGCUGAAGAGGUAUAUUGAGCCCUGCCUGGUUAACCUCCAGUGAGGUUAUUAGAGAAUUGGGAGAGGCUCAAAUCAGCAUCCUGCACCUAGUUAUCAAACCAUUGUGAAGUCUUGAUUCCUGGAUGGCCAGAAAACUUGUCAUUGGUCAAGAGCAACAUUAAGAUCUGCCUGUUACUCAUACUGAUGCUUCCUGCCCAGCAAGUUCAUCAGAGGGCGAGGAUGAAUUACGGUUGCCAUGAAUGUCCUUGUGAGGCAGUUGGGAAGCCUUGGCUGGAUUGUGAAGGAUAUUUGAAAAGUAUUUUAGAGUCCACCAGAUCAUCCAUGUGAGUGACCAUGCAGCAAAAGAAGGAGGGUCCUCUCAGUGAUUAAGGAUUAUGAAGUAUUAAUUCUUCCACUGAUAUCUCAAAAGGUGAUCUGGACAAAGGAACAGGUAUCUCAGCUAGACAGAAGGUACUGGAUAAAAAGAACCCUGAAGCAUGGGAUGAUUUUUUCCCAAUAUUCACUGUGAGAAUCUGUCAGAUAAUCAGCAACUGCUGUGAUGAGAUGCUGCCUUUAAUGCUGCUGCAUGUGGUCAAACCUCCACUCCCAGUCUACCCAGACCAGGACUUGGCUUCCAGGAUCCAGGGGUGUCUGUGUGAAAUGAUCAGCCUGGGCCCCCAAGCAGGUCACUCCCAGCACAGAGAUGUCAUUGAUUGUACCACCGUCAUCAGGCUGUCUUCCGCCCUCAGGGAAAAGUAGCAUGUCUUCCAGCACCAUAUGACAACUGCUCAGCACUUAUUUCUUGUCAUUGCUCCCUUCUGACUGCAGCUCCGUGGGAUCACAGGAGAUUAUGGUGGUGGUGGACUCCCAGGCAUUGCUAUUCUCCUGACACCAGAACACCAUCAUGGUCAUCUCUGAGGCAUCAGUAGUGUUUCUAUAUGCCAACAGUGAACAAUCUGAAAAAGAUAUUAAAAAGUAAUCUCAUUUACAAUAGCCACACAUAAAAUUAAAUACCUAGGAAUUAACCAAAGAAGUUAAAUAUCUCUAUAAUGAAAACUAUAAAACACUGAUGAAUGAAAUUGAUGAGAUCACCAAAAAUGAAAAAAUAUUCCAUGUUCAUGGAUUGGAAGAAUCAAUAUUGUUAAAAUGUCCAUACUACCCAAAGCAAUCUACAGAUUCAGUGCAAUCCCUAUAAAAAUACCAAUGACAUUCUUCACAGAAAUAUGAUCCUAAAAUGUAUACAGAACCACAAAGACCCAGAAUAGCCAAAGCUAUCCUAAGCAAAAAGAACAAAACUGGAGGAAUCACAUUACCUGACUUUAAAUAAUACUACAGAGCUGUUGUAACCAAAACAGCAUGGUACUGGCAUAAAAGCAGACACACAGACCAAUGGAACAGUACAGACAACCCAGAAACAAAUCCACACACAAACAGUGAACCCAUUUGUGACAAAGGUGCCAAGAAUAUGCACUCGGGAAAACACAGUCUUUACUCCACAAGCACAAGCAACCAAAGCAAAAAUGGACAAAUGGGAUUACGUCAAGUUUAAAAGCUUCUACACAGCAAAAGAUACUAUCAACCAAGUGAAUAGACACCCCAAAGAAUGGGAGAAAAUAUUUGCAAACUACCCAUCUGACAAGGGAUUCAUAACCAGGAUUUAUAAGGAGCUCAAAGAACUCUACUGGAGAAAAUCUAGUAAUUCCAGUCAAAAAUGGGCAAAAUAUUUGAAUAGGCAUUUCUCAAGAGAAGACAUACGUAUUGCAAAGAGGCAUAUGAAAAUGUGCUCAACAUCAUUGAUCAUUAGAGAAAUGCAAAUCAAAACUACAAUGAGAUCAUCUCACCCAGUUAAAAUGGCUUAUAUGCAAAAGUCAAGUAAUAACAAAUGCUGGCUAGGAUGUGUACACUGUUUGGUGGGAAUGUAAAUUAGUACAACCUCUAUGGAGAACAGUUUUCAGGUUCCUAAGAAGACAAAAAAUAUUGAACUACUAUAUGAUCCAGAAAUCCCAGUGCUUGGUAUAUACCCAAAAGAAAGAAAAUCAGUAUAUCAAAGAGAUAUCUGUGUGCCUAUGUUUGUUGCAGCAGUGUUUACAAGAGCUAAGAUUUGGAAGCAACGUAAGUGUUCAUCAACAGAUGAAUGGGUAAAGAACGUGUGGUACAUAUACACAAUGG
Molecule: long non-coding RNA, 2322 nt
Organism: Homo sapiens (human)
Lineage: Eukaryota; Metazoa; Chordata; Mammalia; Primates; Hominidae
Gene: FTX
Product: FTX transcript, XIST regulator
Source: Ensembl